CCUACGGGAGACAGCAGUGAGGAAUAUUGGUCAAUGGGAGGAAUCCUGAACCAGCCAUGCCGCGUGCAGGAUGACGGCCCUACGAGUUGUAAACUGCUUUUGUACCGGGGUAAAAUGCCUUACGUGUAGGGUUUUGUAAGUACGGUAUGAAUAAGGAUCGGCUAACUCCGUGCCAGCAGCCGCGGUAAUACGGAGGAUCCGAGCGUUAUCCGGAUUUAUUGGGUUUAAAGGGAGCGUAGGUUGUUUUAUAAGUUAGCGGUGAAAUACCGAUGCUCAACCUCGAAAUUGCAACUAAUACUGGAAGACUAGAGUACAGAUGCGGCGGGCGGAAUGUGUGGUGUAGCGGUGAAAUGCUUAGAUAUUACGCAGAACACCGAUUGCGAAGGCAGCUUGCUGGACCGGAACUGACACUGAUGCACGAAAGCGUGGGGAUCAAACAGGAUUAGAUACCCGGGUAGUC
Molecule: ribosomal RNA, 460 nt
Filed under: uncultured bacterium
Lineage: Bacteria
Description: partial 16S ribosomal RNA
Rfam family: Bacterial small subunit ribosomal RNA
Source: RNAcentral